ACCUAUAAUGUGUUAUCCUUUCAAACCACUACUUUAUUCAUUUGUACACUCGAUAUGUUUUUUACUGUUUUACUACUAAAGAUUAUUACUUAUUAUGUACGUGACAAGUAGAAAAGUUUUAGUGACAAGAUAGUGCGUCUUAAGGAAAACCUUAAAAAUUUUGAAAUUUAUACUAAAAAUUUGAUAAGUUUUAAUUAUUCCAGGAGAUUACGUGGGCUCGAGGUUUUUCAGUGACAUAGAAGCGAUGCUUUAGUUUUGUCAGUACAGAUAUGUAAAAAAUGUCCGUGGCGUGCGCGGUGCGUCCUGUGCGAGCCAGGCGGCCAGUAGCGCAGAUGAACGCGGGCGCUGGCAACUGCAGCUGCAGCGGCCGCGCCUCCUGCUGCAGCGCCUACAAGCACUGCUUGAGCAGGGUCGGCUCGGUGCUCGGGGCGUGGCGCCCCAGCUUCGAGCGGCUCUUGUGGGGCAUGCCGUGCGGGUCCUCCUCCGGCUUGUCGUCCUUGCGGUGGGUCUGCCCGCCGACGUCCAGCAGCUCGGGCCACCGGCGCCGGCGGCGCGCGUCCCGGCGGAGCGGCCGGCGCCACCGGCGCUCGCGCCGGCGCCCGUGGGCGGCGCGGCACGCGGUGUCGUGGAGGAGGCUGAGCUCCUUGCUCUCCAGCGGCGGCGCGAGGGCGGCGGGCUGGGUGAGCAGGGUGAGGAGCAGCGACUGGCUGCGCAGGCGGUGGUCGUCGCUGGGCUCCUGCUUCCUCCGCUCCCUCAUCUGCUCGCCGUAGGUGCGCCCCUGCGCCAGCUGCGGGCGCCGCAGCGGCUCCAUCGGGUCGUCGCGCCCGUGGGGGCGCUUCCUCUUCCGGCGCUGCCGGCCCUCGAAGGUCUCGUGCGGCUCCAGCCCCGAGGCCGGGCCCUCCAGCCGCAGCUCCUCCCUGGCCUCCUCGAGCAGCAGGAGCGGCGGCUUGUGGAGGCUGAGCAGCCGGUCGGGGCGCAGCUGCUCCAAGACCUCCUUCCACGCCUCCAGCAACAACGACAAGGCCAUCCGCAGCUCCUCGAAGGGACGGUCGCAGGGCUCUAGCAGGAGCCCCCCGAACGACCGGAGCAGAAGCCACCGCAGGCACGGCGCCGACGGCGGCCCCGAGCUCGCUUCCGCCUCCACUGCCACCGCUUCUGCCCACCCCUCGACCUCUCUGCUCGCCCCCCCUUCCCCGCCGGCCCUCAUCUCCCCCCUCCUCCAGGCCCACCCCCACUCAGCCCUCUCCUCCUCCCUGAGGUAACAAAACGAAGAGGGGCAAGAAUAGGGUGCCGGCCCCGGGCCACCCUAAUAAAUCCCCUCGACAGUUUAAACCCCUGAAAAACCAAGUAGGGCAACGAUACCGGGAAGAAAAAAGAGGAACAUACAAAAACGAUAUAAAAGACGAACGUUACCAGAUUCGUAAUGUAUUAGGGCCCGGGCGAUUUGUUCCCAAUGCUAGAAGUGAGACAGUGGGGGCUGAACCAGAAAAAGCGUGAAAGUGCCGAUAAACUAGGAAGGUGCAGGAAGCGGGCCGGCAUCCGCCUACUAUCCCAAUAAGUUGGGAAGUGUUCAAGCCCCAUCUCAAUUUUGAACUACUUAAAAAAACCCGGGAAAUGUUCACUG
Molecule: ribosomal RNA, 1624 nt
Filed under: Triticum aestivum (bread wheat)
Lineage: Eukaryota; Viridiplantae; Streptophyta; Magnoliopsida; Poales; Poaceae
Description: partial small subunit ribosomal RNA
Source: RNAcentral